AGAGUUUGAUCCUGGCUCAGGAUGAACGCUAGCGGCAGGCCUAAUACAUGCAAGUCGAACGGUAAAUAUUUAGCAAUAAAUAUGAGAGUGACGUACGGGUGCGUAACACGUAUGCAACCUACCCUUUACAGGCGGAUAGCUCGGGGAAACUCGAAUUAACCCGCCGUAAUAUAAUUGGAUGGCAUCAUCUGGUUAUUAAAUCUACGGAGGUAAAGGAUGGGCAUGCGUCUGAUUAGUUAGUUGGCGGGGUAACGGCCCACCAAGACGAUGAUCAGUAGGGGAACUGAGAGGUUGAUCCCCCACACUGGCACUGAGAUACGGGCCAGACUCCUACGGGAGGCAGCAGUAGGGAAUAUUGGUCAAUGGAUGGAAGUCUGAACCAGCCAUGCCGCGUGCAGGAAGAAGGCCUACUGGGUUGUAAACUGCUUUUGCCAGGGGAUAAAAUGACCUUGCGAGGUUAAUUGAAGGUACCUGGUGAAUAAGCCACGGCUAACUACGUGCCAGCAGCCGCGGUAAUACGUAGGUGGCAAGCGUUGUCCGGACUUAUUGGGUUUAAAGGGUGCGUAGGCGGCUUAUUAAGUCAGUGGUGAAAUACUCUAGCUCAACUAGAGGGGUGCCAUUGAUACUGAUGAGCUUGAGUACAGAUGAGGUAGGCGGAAUUGACGGUGUAGCGGUGAAAUGCUUAGAUAUCGUCAAGAACACCUAUAGCGAAGGCAGCUUACUAGGCUGUAACUGACGCUGAGGCACGAAAGUGUGGGGAUCAAACAGGAUUAGAUACCCUGGUAGUCCACGCUGUAAACGUUGGGCGCUAGGUGUGGGGGUCUUCCACGAUCUCCGUGCCGGAGCUAACGCAUUAAGCGCCCCGCCUGGGGAGUACGGCCGCAAGGCUAAAACUCAAAGGAAUUGACGGGGGCCCGCACAAGCGGCGGAGCAUGUUGCUUAAUUCGACGCAACGCGAAGAACCUUACCAAGGUUUGACAUCACCCGGAAACGUCCAGAGAUGGGCGCCUCUUCGGACUGGGUGACAGGUGGUGCAUGGCUGUCGUCAGCUCGUGUCGUGAGAUGUUGGGUUAAGUCCCGCAACGAGCCAACCCUUGUUCCAUGUUGCCAGCACGCUCCUUCGGGGGUGGUGGGGACUCAUGGGAGACUGCCGGGGUCAACUCGGAGGAAGGUGGGGAUGACGUCAAGUCAUCAUGCCCCUUAUGUCUUGGGCUGCAAACAUGCUACAAUGGCCGGUACAGAGGGCUGCUAAACCGUGAGGUGGAGCGAAUCCCUAAAAGCCGGUCUCAGUUCGGAUUGGGGUCUGCAACUCGACCCCAUG
Molecule: ribosomal RNA, 1321 nt
Filed under: metagenome
Description: bacterial SSU rRNA
Rfam family: Bacterial small subunit ribosomal RNA
Source: RNAcentral